This 450-nucleotide ribosomal RNA is filed under the name uncultured bacterium. RNAcentral describes it as "partial 16S ribosomal RNA". It matches the Rfam family "Bacterial small subunit ribosomal RNA", at positions 354 to 796 of the family's 1533-position model. The record is from RNAcentral.
GUGGGGAAUAUUGGACAAUGGGCGAAAGCCUGAUCCAGCCAUGCCGCGUGUGUGAAGAAGGUCUUCGGAUUGUAAAGCACUUUAAGUUGGGAGGAAGGGCAGUAAGUUAAUACCUUGCUGUUUUGACGUUACCGACAGAAUAAGCACCGGCUAACUUCGUGCCAGCAGCCGCGGUAAUACGAAGGGUGCAAGCGUUAAUCGGAAUUACUGGGCGUAAAGCGCGCGUAGGUGGUUCAGCAAGUUGGAGGUGAAAUCCCCGGGCUCAACCUGGGAACUGCCUCCAAAACUACUGAGCUAGAGUACGGUAGAGGGGAGUGGAAUUUCCUGGGUAGCGGUGAAAUGCGUAGAUAUAGGAAGGAACACCAGUGGCGAAGGCGACUACCUGGACUGAUACUGACACUGAGGUGCGAAAGCGUGGGGAGCAAACAGGAUUAGAUACCCUAGUAGUCC